UGAGGAAUAUUGGUCAAUGGACGGAAGUCUGAACCAGCCAAGUAGCGUGCAGGAUGACGGCCCUAUGGGUUGUAAACUGCUUUUGUACGGGGAUAAAGUUAGGGACGUGUCCCUAUUUGCAGGUACCAUACGAAUAAGGACCGGCUAAUUCCGUGCCAGCAGCCGCGGUAAUACGGAAGGUCCAGGCGUUAUCCGGAUUUAUUGGGUUUAAAGGGAGCGUAGGCUGGAGAUUAAGUGUGUUGUGAAAUGUAGACGCUCAACGUCUGAAUUGCAGCGCAUACUGGUUUCCUUGAGUACGCACAACGUUGGCGGAAUUCGUCGUGUAGCGGUGAAAUGCUUAGAUAUGACGAAGAACUCCGAUUGCGAAGGCAGCUGACGGGAGCGCAACUGACGCUUAAGCUCGAAGGUGCGGGUAUCAAACAGG
This 424-nucleotide ribosomal RNA is filed under the name Verrucomicrobiota bacterium. RNAcentral describes it as "Verrucomicrobia bacterium partial 16S ribosomal RNA". It matches the Rfam family "Bacterial small subunit ribosomal RNA", at positions 355 to 776 of the family's 1533-position model. The record is from RNAcentral. Lineage: Bacteria; Pseudomonadati; Verrucomicrobiota.